This 442-nucleotide ribosomal RNA is filed under the name uncultured bacterium. RNAcentral describes it as "partial 16S ribosomal RNA". It matches the Rfam family "Bacterial small subunit ribosomal RNA", at positions 338 to 795 of the family's 1533-position model. The record is from RNAcentral.
CCUACUUUCUUCCUCCUUGGGGCAUCUUGGGCAAUGGGCGCAAGCCUGACCCAGCAACGCCGCGUGAAGGAAGAAGGCUUUCGGGUUGUAAACUUCUUUUGACAGGGAAGAGCAGAAGACGGUACCUGUCGAAUAAGCCACGGCUAACUACGUGCCAGCAGCCGCGGUAAUACGUAGGUGGCAAGCGUUGUCCGGAUUUACGGGGUGUAAAGGGCGUGUAGCCGGGCUGACAAGUCAGAUGUGAAAUCCGGGGGCUCAACCCCCGAACUGCAUUUGAAACUGUUGGUCUUGAGUAUCGGAGAGGCAGGCGGAAUUCCUAGUGUAGCGGUGAAAUGCGUAGAUAUUAGGAGGAACACCAGUGGCGAAGGCGGCCUGCUGGACGACAACUGACGGUGAGGCGCGAAAGCGUGGGGAGCAAACAGGAUUAGAUACCCGGGUAGUC